Molecule: long non-coding RNA, 249 nt
Filed under: Struthio camelus australis
Lineage: Eukaryota; Metazoa; Chordata; Aves; Struthioniformes; Struthionidae
Description: lncRNA (ENSSCUG00000000572.1)
Source: RNAcentral
UAUAAUGGAAUCUGUUGUUUUAAUGUCAUAGAUUUCUUUCCCCCUCUUUCAUCAGUGUUAGCACAGACCCGCGGGGAAUUUGCAGCGUGAGCUCUGAGAUCUCUCCUCUGUGAAGCAGCUCCCCCACUUGGUUUAAGCAACCAGAAUCUGGCAACCUCUGCAGAGAGGAGUGUCACCCUGAGAAAAGCAUGGGAUGACUUACCAGACUUGAACCAUGAGUGAAGACGAUACAGUGGCUUCCAGCUUUCC